Molecule: ribosomal RNA, 322 nt
Filed under: uncultured eukaryote
Lineage: Eukaryota
Description: partial 18S ribosomal RNA
Rfam family: Eukaryotic small subunit ribosomal RNA
Source: RNAcentral
CCCUUAGAUGUUCUGGGCCGCACGCGUGCUACACUGAGUGGAUCAGCGGGUCAGGUUGCGCGAAAGUGUUUCCUAACCUUUAAAUCCGCUCGUGAUGGGGAUUGACGGUUGCAAUUUUCCGUCAUGAACGAGGAAUACCUUGUAAGCGCGGGUCAUCAUCCCGCGCUGAAUACGUCCCUGCCCUUUGUACACACCGCCCGUCGCUCCUACCGAUUGAGUGGUCCGGUGAGGCUUUGGGAUCUGAGCGGAAAGAGCGUUUCGCUGUUUCUGCCCGGAAAACUCAGUCGAACCUUAUCAUUUAGAGGAAGGAGAAGUCGUAACA